UUAGGUUGGUGCAAAAGUAAUUGCGGUUUUUAUCGUUAUUUUCAAUACCAAAAACCACAAUUACUUUUGCACCAACCUAAUA
RNAcentral lists this microRNA precursor (82 nucleotides) under Cebus imitator (Panamanian white-faced capuchin). RNAcentral's name for it is "miRNA (ENSCCAG00000014845.1)". The record is from RNAcentral. Lineage: Eukaryota; Metazoa; Chordata; Mammalia; Primates; Cebidae.